Molecule: ribosomal RNA, 232 nt
Filed under: uncultured bacterium
Lineage: Bacteria
Description: partial 16S ribosomal RNA
Rfam family: Bacterial small subunit ribosomal RNA
Source: RNAcentral
CGGAGUGAGUAACGCGUGGGUAACCUGCCUCAUACAGGGGGAUAGCAGCUGGAAACGGCUGGUAAUACCGCAUAAGCGCACAGUACCACAUGGUACAGUGUGAAAAACUCCGGUGGUAUGAGAUGGACCCGCGUCUGAUUAGCUGGUUGGCGGGGUAACGGCCUACCAAGGCGACGAUCAGUAGCCGACCUGAGAGGGUGACCGGCCACAUUGGGACUGAGACACGGCCCAG